Molecule: long non-coding RNA, 767 nt
Filed under: Ornithorhynchus anatinus (platypus)
Lineage: Eukaryota; Metazoa; Chordata; Mammalia; Monotremata; Ornithorhynchidae
Description: lncRNA (ENSOANG00000050262.1)
Source: RNAcentral
UUCUAUUUAUAUUGAUGCUAUUGAUGCCUGUUUACUUGUUUUGAUGUCUGUCUCCUCCUUUCUAGACUGUGAGCCUGUUGUUGUUGAAUUUUACUUUCCAAGCACUUAGUACAGUGCUCUGCAAACAGUAAGUGCUCAAUACACACAAUUGAACGAAUGAAUGAAGUGCCUGGGCCAGCACUGUGGUCUUUUGGAUGGAGAGGAAGUAACUUAUGGCCCCAAACUCCCAAACUACCAGAAUGCCAGGAGAGUGUUGUGCAUGUGACACUGGAAGAUCUUCACCUUCUGGGAAAUCGAAAAGCAUAACCAAGGCCUGGCUCUUUGCCCGUCUCUGGCCCGUUCCUGCCAGGACCUGACCUUCCCCCCGGAGAACCAGCUGAAGCCAUCUUGCUGAAGGACUUCCUGUUUCCACAGAAACUUGACUCUGUAGACCGAUGCUCGUCCAUGUUUCCACUUGAUUAAAACCGAAGUUGAAAGUAAGUUUCAUUGUUGUGUGUUGCAAUUUUCGCAGACCCAAGCCUGACCCAAAUCUCUAUGGUGUAGUGGAUAGAGCACCGGCCUGUCAGGCCAUGGGUUCUAAUUACGCUCCACCACGAGUCUGUGUGACCUUGGGCAAGUCCUUAUCUGGGUCUCGGUUCCCUCAUCUGUAAAAUGAGGAUUGAGACUGAGCCCUACGUGGGACAGGGACUGUGUCCAACCUGACCGGCUUGUGUCCACCUCAGCACUUAAUACAGUACCUAACACAUAGUAAGCGCGUAAUACCAUAA